RNAcentral lists this non-coding RNA (29 nucleotides) under Rattus norvegicus (Norway rat). The record is from RNAcentral. Lineage: Eukaryota; Metazoa; Chordata; Mammalia; Rodentia; Muridae.
UGGGGAUUUUGUUGUUUAAACAGUGUCUU